Molecule: long non-coding RNA, 1361 nt
Organism: Saccostrea echinata
Lineage: Eukaryota; Metazoa; Mollusca; Bivalvia; Ostreida; Ostreidae
Exons: 6
Source: RefSeq, a predicted model, not a curated record
UUCGUAUCAACAAAUCUGUGUACGAGUUAAUAACGCACCCUGGGUUCCCUGCAUUUUCAGUGACAGAGAACCAGAUAUAAGAAUGCAGGGAAACAAGCCUUGUUACAAGGUUUGAGGGUCUCUGCUAGAAUCAUGUGGACCCCAGUGUAACACAUCUAUGGAAAGAGAGAAAAUCUCAGCUCAAGGGUCAACAUGUCUUUAUUCCAAGAAAGAGUGUACAUAUGCCAGAAUCAUAUGGACCGCAGACUGGCCCUGGUGAUUCCGUUAAGAAAAAAGAGGAAAAAUCAGUGCUUGUGCUCAUUGGUCAUUGGACAAAGGGUGUAUGCCAGAAUUUUUUGAAGAACAGUCUGAAUCUGACAUGGAAAAAAUGAAGAAAAACAGCCUUCCUGUUUAUAAAUCUACAUUCUGACAAAGGAUCAUUUCCUUGAGAUAGGUGGAACCAACAGUCAAAUCCAGACACCUUUAAGAAAAGUAAAAAUCUGACUCAGGUAAGAAAGAAAUUCAGGAGUUCUUAAAUUGCCCUCAGAGUUCUUGGAUUGCAUCAAACUGCUAAAAGACCUCAACAAAAACAGUGUCUUGAAAAAAAAAUGAAAAUAUUCAGUGAAAAAAAAAUUAUGAGAGAAAAAGCCACUAAAAAUCUUCAAGCCUUUGAGCUGAAAUCUGGAAGUCAAUCUGUGGACUUUACUGGUAUGUCUUACUAAUUAAGUCAUCAUUUGUGUAUAAUAAAUACACUAAACUGUAAACACUUGUUAAAAUGUAUAUAAUUUUUAGAUAUAAUUUGUAGCUCACAGACAUCAAUAGUUUCAUGUAAUUUAAGUAAUAAUGAAAAUUUCCUGUUGUCUGGCUAGAUUAGAAACUAUAUAUUAUUGUCCAAUUUUGGAUAUUGUGAAAUAAUUCAUUUAGUAAAAUUGGGUAUGCAUACAUGUGUGUACACUUACAUGUAAAUUAAUUGUUAUAGCAAAUUUAAUCUAUCAUUAAGUUGAAUGUUGACUAAUGUUUUUCAUCAAAAUUGUUUACACUGAAUUGUUUGUGGAUUUUUCCAUUUGCCCAAUCAUGUCAAGGAGCACAUGGCAGAAAAUGCUUUCUCCUCCAUUGCACUUGGUGUUUUUAGAGGUCUGUGUUUGCUCUGCUCCAAUUUUGUAUUGUUUCAAUGGACUUUAAAGCUUGAUCACUUUUGGUAAUCUUCAUAUUUUAUAUACUAUUAGAGUACUUGAAGAGAACUGUAAAGAUUUAACAUACAGUAUAAUGCAUGUAUAUUGCACUUUAAGUAGAGUGUAUGUGGUUUAGAAAUGUAAUUCAUCUCAUAGUGCAUUGAAUUUGUUGAAAAUUAGAAACUUUGUUGAAAUUGUUUCAGAAUAAUG